Molecule: ribosomal RNA, 449 nt
Filed under: uncultured bacterium
Lineage: Bacteria
Description: partial 16S ribosomal RNA
Rfam family: Bacterial small subunit ribosomal RNA
Source: RNAcentral
AACGAACGCUGGCGGCAUGCCUAACACAUGCAAGUCGAACGGAUCCUUCGGGAUUAGUGGCGGACGGGUGAGUAACGCGUGGGAACAUACCCAAAGGUACGGAAUAGCCUCGGGAAACGGGGAGUAAUACCGUAUGUGCUCGAAAGAGGAAAGAUUUAUCGCCUUUGGAUUGGCCCGCGUUGGAUUAGGUAGUUGGUGGGGUAAUGGCCUACCAAGCCGACGAUCCAUAGCUGGUUUGAGAGGAUGAUCAGCCACACUGGGACUGAGACACGGCCCAGACUCCUACGGGAGGCAGCAGUGGGGAAUCUUAGACAAUGGGGGAAACCCUGAUCUAGCCAUGCCGCGUGAUCGAUGAAGGCCUUAGGGUUGUAAAGAUCUUUCAGGUGGGAAGAUAAUGACUGUACCACCAGAAGAAGCCCCGGCUAACUCCGUGCCAGCCGCCGCCGUAA